UGGGGAAUAUUGCACAAUGGGGGAAACCCUGAUGCAGCGACGCCGCGUGAGCGAAGAAGGUUUUCGAAUCGUAAAGCUCUGUCCUAAGAGAAGAUAAUGACGGUAUCAUAGGAGGAAGCCCCGGCUAAAUACGUGCCAGCAGCCGCGGUAAUACGUAUGGGGCGAGCGUUGUCCGGAAUUAUUGGGCGUAAAGGGUACGUAGGCGGUCUAUUAAGUCAGGUGUGAAAGCGUGAGGCUUAACCUCAUUAAGCACUUGAAACUGAUAGACUUGAGUGAAGGAGAGGAAAGUGGAAUUCCUAGUGUAGCGGUGAAAUGCGUAGAUAUUAGGAGGAAUACCGGUGGCGAAGGCGACUUUCUGGACUUUUACUGACGCUCAGGUACGAAAGCGUGGGGAGCAAACAGG
This 403-nucleotide ribosomal RNA is filed under the name Verrucomicrobiota bacterium. Its description in RNAcentral is "Verrucomicrobia bacterium partial 16S ribosomal RNA". It matches the Rfam family "Bacterial small subunit ribosomal RNA", at positions 355 to 776 of the family's 1533-position model. Lineage: Bacteria; Pseudomonadati; Verrucomicrobiota. The record is from RNAcentral.